CAAGGAGGUACAACUCAGACUUCCUGUGAGGGGAGUGGGGGCUCAGCCGUGGGUGAGUUAUCAUCUAAUCACACGUGUUGAGAAGCUGAGGUGCUGACGACUGUGAAGCCUCUCCUUCAAGACGGGGUUUCUUUUAGGGCAGCAUUAUUACUAAUACCUUCACUCUACAGCUUUUUGCAGUCCUGGGCGCCACGGUGAGCAAACACAUUUCCUGGGCAGCGUGGAAGGCACAUAGCAGAUAGCUAGCAGUUGUGUGCAAAAUGGACUGUGAAAUACACCAUCUUGGAACAGGCACAUAACUGGUCUAAGCAGUCUCCACAGACUGAAGCUGCUAGUCACUGAACCAGGACUUAAGGGCCCGCCUCUGUGCUCAAACAUCCCCCACAAUUACAGAUUAAAAACAACCCUUCCUUCAUGGCUGCAAGUGCAGGGAAACACAGAGUUGCCUGAAGAUCUGAAUGCGGCAUGAAACGUUCUCAGAGUUCAAGGUCUUGGAACAGAUCGUUCAUGAAGCCAGUCUUAUGAUUCACAGUCCUGGGUUCACUCUGUGGUCAAACCAGAAAAAAAUUAGAAGGAAGCCAGGUAUCUGGAAUGAAUUAACUCCCCCUCCCUUCCUCCCGCUUGCCCUCCUUCCCUCUUCUCCUUUCCCUUUCUCUUCCUUUUUCUCUCUCUCCCUCUCUCCUCUUUCUCUUUCUAAUUAUGAGGAGUACUGGAAAUUCAAACAGCUGGACCUUACAAUCAAACCUCUGUAUCUGAAUUUUCCACACCAAUGGUUCCAACGAUAAGGAACAAAAAUCUUUGGGAAGAGCAUCAGGACUGAAGAUGGAAGAAUCUCUACUUGUCCUCAUCCCCGAGGCAUGGCAUUCCCAGGUUCCAGCUGUGACCUCCUCCCUGCAGAUGCAGGCAGAAGAUGGUGUUAUGACAGAGGCGUUUUGCAGUGAUAAUGGGACCAGGUUCAUCUGGAGUUAGUGCUGCCCCUUCCUAAAGCCUCUUGGAAGGAUGACCUAGCUGGGUCAUUUGUUGGGGGAAUUUGACAUCAACCUUCAGAUCUCUCCUUUUGGGCCAUCUGAGAAGCUUCCAGCAUCCUGCCGAGCAUGUGAAGACCUGCCUGAUCUGCAAGCUGAGAGAAAAUAGUCUUACUCCAACUCCCAUGAUUUCUAUGCUUUUCGGACUCUGGCCCUUUGCUGUGUCUGGUGUUGUGGUCUUGACACUUUCGUCUUCUCCAUAGACUGAACCUCCAGCCUCCUGAUGGAGUUGGGGGAGGCAUCACCAACUGCUUCUCCAGCACUGUUCAGGGUUUCUGUUGCUGCGAACAGACAUCAUGACCACAGAAGCACUUAGAAAGGAAACGUUUCAUUUGGGUGGCUUACAGCUCAGAGGUUCAGUCCAUUAUCAUCAUGGUGGGACAUGGCAGCAUGCAGGCAUCAUGGAGGCAGACACGGUGCUGGAGAAGGAACUGAGAGUCCUACAUCUUGAUCCACAGAUGCUGUGUUUACAGGCAUGUGCAGCCAUGAUCAGCUUUUUACGUGGGUGUUGGGGAGUCAAACUGGAGUCCUCAUGUUUGUAG
RNAcentral lists this long non-coding RNA (1567 nucleotides) under Cricetulus griseus (Chinese hamster). Its description in RNAcentral is "lncRNA (ENSCGRG00015040493.1)". The record is from RNAcentral. Lineage: Eukaryota; Metazoa; Chordata; Mammalia; Rodentia; Cricetidae.